GAAAUGCGAUAAGUAGUGUGAAUUGCAGAAUUCAGUGAAUCAUCGAAUCUUUGAACGCACAUUGCGCCCCUUGGUAUUCCAUGGGGCAUGCCUGUUCGAGCGUCAUUUGUACCCUCAAGCUCUGCUUGGUGUUGGGUGUUUGUCCCGUCUCCGCGCGUGGACUCGCCCCAAAGUGAUUGGCAGCCGGCGUACUGGUCCCGGAGCGCAGCACAUGUCGCGCAAACGAGUGCCUUGGUACGGCGGCGUCCAUAAGCCCCUAUCUCACGCUCUUGACCUCGGAUCAGGUAGGGAUACCCGCUGAACUUAAGC
This 309-nucleotide unclassified non-coding RNA is filed under the name plant metagenome. Its description in RNAcentral is "partial contains 5.8S ribosomal RNA, internal transcribed spacer 2, and large subunit ribosomal RNA". The stretch from base 1 to 105 matches the Rfam family "5.8S ribosomal RNA", at positions 50 to 154 of the family's 154-position model. The record is from RNAcentral.